This 204-nucleotide long non-coding RNA is filed under the name Capsicum annuum. Its description in RNAcentral is "long non-coding RNA (CANN_LNC009789)". The record is from RNAcentral. Lineage: Eukaryota; Viridiplantae; Streptophyta; Magnoliopsida; Solanales; Solanaceae.
AUGUCUCGACUUAGAUUUGUUUUUGGUAUUGUUUAGAGGCUUUGUGGAUAUUACUGUGCAUUGGGUUAUUAUGAUGGACACAAUUAGUUGUCUUGAGUCUAUUAUCCUCCAUCUUGUUAUAUGUUCGGAUUUCAAUUGCUGCUAGAUGUUAUGAUCUAUUUGGCUAGGAAAAGGGGGUGGUUAUCAAUCCUUGGUGGACUUGAG